Molecule: transfer RNA, 74 nt
Filed under: Candidatus Subteraquimicrobiales bacterium
Lineage: Bacteria; Bacillati; Actinomycetota; Candidatus Aquicultoria; Candidatus Subteraquimicrobiales
Description: tRNA-Gly
Rfam family: tRNA
About the family: Transfer RNA (tRNA) molecules are approximately 80 nucleotides in length. Their secondary structure includes four short double-helical elements and three loops (D, anti-codon, and T loops). Further hydrogen bonds mediate the characteristic L-shaped molecular structure. tRNAs have two regions of fundamental functional importance: the anti-codon, which is responsible for specific mRNA codon recognition, and the 3' end, to which the tRNAs corresponding amino acid is attached (by aminoacyl-tRNA synthetases). tRNAs cope with the degeneracy of the genetic code in two manners: having more than one tRNA (with a specific anti-codon) for a particular amino acid; and 'wobble' base-pairing, i.e. permitting non-standard base-pairing at the 3rd anti-codon position.
Source: RNAcentral
GCGGAAUUAGUUUAAUGGUAGAACACAACCUUCCCAAGGUUGAAGUGCGGGUCCGAUUCCCGUAUUCCGCUCCA